Molecule: long non-coding RNA, 2696 nt
Organism: Chelonia mydas (Green sea turtle)
Lineage: Eukaryota; Metazoa; Chordata; Testudines; Cheloniidae
Exons: 5
Source: RefSeq, a predicted model, not a curated record
UUCCAUCCUGGCUGUAGACACUAGAGCCCAAGCUGUGUAUAGUGAAAAGGUGGUGGGAACACAACCUGUAAAUAAAUGGCACCAGUGGUUACUGAACCCCAGAGUCUCCAAGUGACUUUGUCAGCACAGCAGGGGCAGGAGCUAAGGGGGCCCUGCAGCAACCCUGCUACACAUGGGGGCUUGUCCAGGAUCUUGUGCCAGAGCAAGAGUUUGGCAGCCUGGAGAAGGAGGAGACCCUGUGAUGGCUGGUAAAACAGCAGGAAGAGGUACAAAAGGCUAUGGAAACCUUUCAGCAGUUUCAGCAGCAGGCCUUGCUUAACUGGCAAGCCGAGCAGCAGAAGAGCAUGCGAGAUUUUAUAUGAGAGCAGGCCAGCAUACAACAGCAGCUCCUCCAAAAGAUGGUGAAUCUUAUGGUGGGGGAUAGCAUUCAGGUGCUGGGCUUGGGACUUUGUAAGAUGGUCCCCGCAGAUGACUCCGAUAACUUCCUAGGCACUUUUGAGCAUGUAGCCAUGGGGGCAGGAUGAGAUAGGAUAACCUGGGCCCUGUGGCUGGCUUCCUACCUGGCUGGCAAAACCCAAGCGGCCUAUAUUGCCUUGAAUAAGGACCCAGCCAGGAGUGAGGAACUGACCAGGAGGUGCUAAAGACAGUCAUCCUAGAUUGGGUGGGGCUGUCCACUGAAAAGUACUGCCAGAGGUUCUGGGCAGCAAGGUGGACAGGAGGUUUGCGGCCCUGGGCGUUUGCCCAGAAGUUAAUGGACAGGCCACCCAAUGGCUGAGACCUGAUGCUCAGACAGUGGGGGAGAUCAUGGAUGUGCUUAUCUGAGGACAGCUUUUACAUGGCUUCCCCGAGAACAUAAGGGUAUGGGUGAGACGGCACUAACCGAGCACGGUAGAGACAGCGGUAAAACUGAUGGAGGAGUAUGCAGAGGCGGACUUUCCCAGGAAGGACAGAUGCCCAUAUAAGGAAGAAGAAACUGGGAAAAAAAGCCAGGGAACUCUUGACCAGGAAGGGUCCAGAGAAAAGAUAGAACAACCAUGGAGCUCCCACUGGAACCAGGCCACUCAUCUUCUGGCAGUGCGGGCAACCGGACCAUAGAAAGAGGGACUGGAUGGACAGGGAGUGUGGCUUCGCAGAGUUUUGCGGGUGGACCAACUCUGGAGGGCAGAGAAAGGGGCAGAAACUAUUCACCAUUCCCGUGAUGGUGGAGAGGAGAACCCAGUGGGGUCUAGUGGACAUGGCCUUGGCCUGUUCUCUUGUAAGGAGCGGGCAGGAGAAGCCGCAAUGGAUGAUUCACAGUGCCAGAGUGAAUUUGGAGUGCAUCCAUGGGGAUGUAUGGAAGCUUUGGGAUCAGUGUGUUAAGUCUUUGAUGAUGAACCAUAAAGACCAAACAAGUUUCUCAAGCCCCAUUUCUCUGAUACAGUAUCUGGAAUGCCUGAAGGAAAGUUAUGAGGGGUUAGUCUGUGGGAGUAGGUGUUAUGAAUGACUAUGGGCCAUUUUAUACCAUGAGCUGUUAAACAGAAUUUCUCAAGGAUUUCAGUGGAAACAUCUGCUCAAGAAUUAAUGGUGCAAUAUUGAGAUCUGAGCCUGUGCUGCACAAGGAGAGACACAUCACUUCAAAGAACUCCAGCUGAUACAAAGCCUGAAAAUUUCUAAGGCAUUACUCCUUUGAAGUCCUGCAAGACAUGUUUCAUCUUGGUAAUUUUUAAAUGAGCUUUUCUCUGUCAACAUGAAGAACCCAGAAGAGAGAAACUUUCUGAGUUUUAACCAAGUUCCCAGAUAGAAAUAUGGCUGUAAAUUGUUGAGUUUGUGAGCAGACCAACAACAUUGGUCAUAAGAUGUCCAUGUUUAUUUUUCAUUUGGGUGGUGAAUGAAUGUUGAGUUGCUGGUUGUUGCAUCUCCAAGACUAAUCACUUUGGGGAGAGGAAGUCAACACACCAGCAACCAGACCACUCCACCCUUUUUGUCCUGUCUUCAUGCACCCGAGGAAGAUCUGCUAGCAAGAGUUUCUGUGCCAGCAACAUCAUCUGCUUCCUUGAUUGCAGUUCCAGCUCCUAUUCCAUGACAGUCUAGAAAAUUGAGAGCUGAAGAAGUUUGAAGCCGCCCUCUAACCUCAAAGAUCUAUUUUUUCCCUUUUUACUGGUUUUGUUUUUAUUAGCUGAGGGACAGCCUUUUUAUAUUCUUUGAAGUAUGAGAGUAUGGUUGUGUGUAGGUAUGUCUGUCUAUAAAGUCCACACUGGGAACAUGCCACACACAGAAAAUGAUCUAGGUUUUACCUGGCUUAAGUGUUGUCUCAUUAAAAAAAUCAUUACUGUGUGUUCUGUAUUUAAGCCGUUAUUUAUAUAAAUAUUGGUACAUAGGAGUUGUCAAACUUCCGCUUGAGGAAAAAAGGGUUCUAUUAGUCUGUCCCUUAUCUGCUGGGUAGGGAAGAAAGGGUUUAGACCUCAUGCAACAAUUGAAAUCAAAGAAACAAGCUUUAUAAUUGGCACUAAGGUUAUGGUUCAGACACUGGAUCAUUUGGUUUCAGUAUUAAGAUAUUUUACCAGCUCCCAGUUAUAGCUUUGACUGACUUUGGUAAACUUCUUUAGUUGGGAUUUAUAAUCAGAUGGACAGCAACCUCCUUAGAUCUCUUCUUCAGAAUUAUAAGAGUUGGUUAUCUGUUGUAUUAACCUAGUGAUUUAACCAAUCUGAUAAUUUAA